CCGGGUUCAACCGGGAACCUUUUCACGGACAUCGAGCACGCACGGCUCGUGGCCGGAACGAAACCGAAGUCGUUCGGGCAUUCAAGCUCUUCAUUGGGACAAAUAGGAGCCGAUGACUCCAUGCCCUCAUCGUUUUCUGCAUCCCAGCGCCCGAGCGAGAAUUCAUGGACCACGAAACCGACACGAAACGUGUGGAAUCUGGGACACGGAUCCCGUUUCGAGUUUCACCCGCAGCCGCACCGAGAUAACGGGCAACCUUAGGCGAACAGCUAGAGAUUGACAACCGAAUUCCAUCGAGUAGGUACGAAACACAGGAAACCGUGGGACGGCCAAUGUAAAAUUGUGCCAACAAUGAAGAGGAUAGCAAGAUAGGACGUCGCGCUCAAGGCAGGGAUCCACCCAAACCUUGCUACC
Molecule: unclassified non-coding RNA, 414 nt
Filed under: Hexasepalum apiculatum
Lineage: Eukaryota; Viridiplantae; Streptophyta; Magnoliopsida; Gentianales; Rubiaceae
Description: Diodia apiculata partial external transcribed spacer
Source: RNAcentral